GUCAUAUCUAAGAUUAUAAUGUGGGAAUAUAUGAUUGUUACUGUCGAUCACGAGUGAUUGAACUUGAGAUUAAAUUAGCAUUUCUUUAAUUGAAUGUGUGUAAAAUGCAAUCUGUUAAGUUGCAUAAAGCUUAGAUGACCAAGAAAGGAACCCAAUGAGACGAUGAAAUAGUUACAAAACCAAGAAUUUCGACAAAAAUAAAUUCACAAAAUAUUUUUUCUUUGGUACAAAAACUCACAAAAUAAUUAAAAACACAUGGUACUUACAUUUGAUGUAAACUGCACACUUGC
This 290-nucleotide unclassified non-coding RNA is filed under the name Hevea brasiliensis (rubber tree). Lineage: Eukaryota; Viridiplantae; Streptophyta; Magnoliopsida; Malpighiales; Euphorbiaceae. The record is from RNAcentral.